UUGUGGUAUUUCUAGAUCCUUACCAAGGUUGUGAUGGUAUAUGCCUUCUCUCAAAGUAUGUAGUAUUUGUCGUGUGAAGCACAGUGACCUUGCUCUCUCUCUCACCCUACUUUAAUAAGGCUUUUGAUAUCUGGAGCUCAUAGGUGGGAGAUAAAGUAUACAUACUUACAAGGCAUUUAUUGCAUAGUCAAACCAUGGAUCCAGAGAAACAAGUCAAUAAGUCAAAUCAAGAUGUGCAUGUGUGGCGAAUGAAUGGUGUAUGGUGAUGAUGGUGAUAAUAAUGGUGAAAGUCUAAUGCUACUUUUGCUCUUUUGAGGGGAUACAUACCUUUCUUGCUCUUUUGAAACUUUUUGAGGAGAAUGAGAUGCUCUACAUUUUAUUUUUCUUUCCUCUCAGGUGGGUAUCUUGUACCCCUAAUUCUACUAUCGGACACUUGUCCAUUUUUACCUCUCGUCUCACUUUUUCUUUUCUAUCGAGGUUUCGGGCACUUGCCUCUUUUUAUUUCCUCGUAUCCUUUCUUUUCUUUUAGAGCACUCAUCUCCUGAAAUUAUAUAGCAAGUGGUAGUAACCAAGAUAACUUGAGCAUUUAUUUUACAAGGGAAAAAUAGAAAUGUUUUUGGUUAUUCUCUCCCGGAUUAGGAGU
RNAcentral lists this long non-coding RNA (643 nucleotides) under Sorghum bicolor (sorghum). RNAcentral's name for it is "long non-coding RNA (SBIC_LNC013805)". Lineage: Eukaryota; Viridiplantae; Streptophyta; Magnoliopsida; Poales; Poaceae. The record is from RNAcentral.